RNAcentral lists this ribosomal RNA (900 nucleotides) under uncultured bacterium. RNAcentral's name for it is "bacterial SSU rRNA". It matches the Rfam family "Bacterial small subunit ribosomal RNA", at positions 78 to 990 of the family's 1533-position model. The record is from RNAcentral.
GCUUUUGACUAUACUUAGUGGCGGACGGGUGAGUAACGCGUGGGCAAUCUGCCCGUAAGAGGGGGAUAACACCGAGAAAUUGGUGCUAAUACCGCAUAACAUCAUGGUGCUGCAUAGUGCUGUGAUCAAAGGAGAAAUCCGCUUAUGGAUGAGCCCGCGUCUGAUUAGCUAGUUGGUAGGGUAACGGCCUACCAAGGCGACGAUCAGUAGCCGGCCUGAGAGGGUGAACGGCCACACUGGAACUGAGACACGGUCCAGACUCCUACGGGAGGCAGCAGUGGGGAAUCUUCCGCAAUGGGCGAAAGCCUUACGGAGCAACGCCGCGUGAGUGAAGAAGGCCUUCGGGUUGUAAAACUCUGUCUUCAGGGAAGAAAAAAAUGACGGUACCUGAGGAGGAAGCCACGGCUAACUACGUGCCAGCAGCCGCGGUAAUACGUAGGUGGCAAGCGUUGUCCGGAAUUACUGGGCGUAAAGAGCGCGUAGGCGGGAAUUUAAGUCAGGAGUGAAAACUGCCGGCUCAACUGGCAGCCUGCUCUUGAAACUGGAUUUCUUGAGGGUAUGAGAGGAAAGCGGAAUUCCUAGUGUAGCGGUGAAAUGCGUAGAUAUUAGGAGGAACACCAGUGGCGAAGGCGGCUUUCUGGCAUACAACUGACGCUGAGGCGCGAAAGCGUGGGGAGCAAACGGGAUUAGAUACCCCGGUAGUCCACGCCGUAAACGAUGGGUACUAGGUGUAGGAGGUAUCGACCCCUUCUGUGCCGUAGUUAACACAAUAAGUACCCCGCCUGGGGAGUACGGCCGCAAGGUUGAAACUCAAAGGAAUUGACGGGGGCCCGCACAAGCGGUGGAGUAUGUGGUUUAAUUCGACGCAACGCGAAGAACCUUACCAGGGCUUGACAUCCU